RNAcentral lists this ribosomal RNA (494 nucleotides) under uncultured Oscillospiraceae bacterium. Its description in RNAcentral is "partial 16S ribosomal RNA". Lineage: Bacteria; Bacillati; Bacillota; Clostridia; Eubacteriales; Oscillospiraceae. The record is from RNAcentral.
CACGUAGUUAGCCGUGGCUUAUUCGUCAGGUACCGUCACUUGCUUCGUCCCUGACAAAAGAAGUUUACAACCCGAAAGCCUUCUUCCUUCACGCGGCGUUGCUGGGUCAGGCUUGCGCCCAUUGCCCAAUAUUCCCCACUGCUGCCUCCCGUAGGAGUCUGGGCCGUGUCUCAGUCCCAAUGUGGCCGGCCAACCUCUCCAGUCCGGCUACUGAUCGUCGCCUUGGGUGGGCCGUUACCCCGCCAACUAGCUAAUCAGACGCGAGCUCAUCUCAGAGCGAUAAAUCUUUGACAGCCAGGGAGAUGCCUCCCAGCUGUAUCAUGCGGUAUUAGCGGCCGUUUCAGCCGUUACUCCCCACUCCAAGGCAGAUUGACUCACGCGUUACUCACCCGUCCGCCACCUUUCCCCACCUUCACUUCGGACGAAUCCUCGACUCCAAUCGUUCUCGUUCGACUUGCCUAUGUGUUAAGCGUACCGCCGACCAGUCGUUACAC